This 460-nucleotide ribosomal RNA is filed under the name uncultured bacterium. Its description in RNAcentral is "partial 16S ribosomal RNA". It matches the Rfam family "Bacterial small subunit ribosomal RNA", at positions 338 to 795 of the family's 1533-position model. The record is from RNAcentral.
CCUACGGGAGGCAGCAGUGAGGAAUAUUGGUCAAUGGGCGCGAGUCUGAACCAGCAAAGUAGCGUGAAGGAUGACUGCCCUACGGGUUGUAAACUUCUUUUAUAAAGGAAUACAGUGAGGCACGUGUGCCUUUUUGUAUGUACUUUAUGAAUAAGGAUCGGCUAACUCCGUGCCAGCAGCCGCGGUAAUACGGAGGAUCCGAGCGUUAUCCGGAUUUAUUGGGUUUAAAGGGAGCGUAGAUGGGUUGUUAAGUCAGUUGUGAAAGUUUGCGGCUCAACCGUAAAAGUGCAAUUGAUACUGGCAGUCUUGAGUACAGUUGAGGUAGGCGGAAUUCGUGGUGUAGCGGUGAAAUGCGUAGAUAUCACGAAGAACUCCGAUUGCGAAGGCAGCUUACUAAACUGCCACUGACAUUGAGGCUCGAAAGUGUGGGGAUCAAACAGGAUUAGAUACCCUUGUAGUC